AAAGGCUACUCGCUCUUAUGUUUUUGACCCUGUCUUUCCGUGGCAAUAAGUUCUGAGUGUGUCUUUUGCUAGGCAGGGCUUACUGGAAGGAUAACCAGGGCUAGUGUGAGGCCUCAGUGGGAGGAAGCAACAAAUGCUGCUUGACUGCUUCUGGGUCAAGUCUCAGGGCUCUUUGAAUUCUAUGCUCUUCAGUCUGGGUGGAUAAGGUGCACGUAUUUAGAAUGGAAGCUGUGGUAGCAACUACACAUUGGCUGAUUUGAAUCCUGUGUCAUGUCUUGUGGAAAUCACAUUAAGGCAGUGAGGAUUUGGAUUUGGGAUGAUACUGACUGAGCCACAGGAGCCCAAACAUCUGCCAGAGCCAGCAACAGGAAAACUCAACAGCUGAAAUUUGUUGUUAUUCUUCCCAUCUUCCACUGUUUCUCUAACCAGAGAGUACUGUGGCCAGUGUAUAUCCACAAAUAAGGAUUGAGAAUAGAUGAGAAACCUGGAAAGCUUCAUUACAUUUCCAGGACACCAGAGUAAGAAUCGCCAUGCCAGGGCCUCUUCUAAGUAAUUGGGAUAUGUCAUUGAACAGCGACAUCUGUUAUGUCAACUUCCUUGGGUAAUGACUUUGAUAUCUUAUUUGAAGAUAGAAAUACUGGAUUCUACUAAGGAAAUUGGUAUUAACUAGAAGAUGGCUAAAUUACUGGUCUUAGAGCCUACUACCUAUGGACAUCAAAUUGAUGUUGUGCCAUUUCUCUCCUGGAGGCAAUUUUUGAGAUCAUAAAAGUGUGCAAGGGACAUGAAGAUGGGGCCUAGAUGAUUUGGAACUGACAGAAUUUUCAGCUCAUGGAUACUGAGAAAGAACAGAAGCUGUUGGUAUCAAUGGCUGUUUGUUUUUGUGACACUUUGAGUAAUAAA
Molecule: long non-coding RNA, 900 nt
Organism: Canis lupus familiaris (dog)
Lineage: Eukaryota; Metazoa; Chordata; Mammalia; Carnivora; Canidae
Exons: 5
Source: RefSeq, a predicted model, not a curated record